Molecule: long non-coding RNA, 316 nt
Filed under: Rosa chinensis
Lineage: Eukaryota; Viridiplantae; Streptophyta; Magnoliopsida; Rosales; Rosaceae
Description: sRNA RchiOBHm_Chr3g0488881
Source: RNAcentral
CCUCUCAUCACAUUUUCCUGUGCGUCGCAUUUGUAUUCCAUCUCCAGCAUCAUUAGACUCCUAUUCAAUCUUCAGCGUCAUAGAUCUUUGGAAUUCUAAUUGGGUGACUGAGUUGGUUUUGGUUAGGGGAAGAACUUGGGUCCAGCAAGAGUAAGUGGUUGCAGCUAUUGAUUCCUAUUAACAGAAAGAAUAUACAGCUAUAAUUUUACUAACCGGGUGCAAUUGGAUUCAACAAUGUGGACUUUCCAGUAUUCAUCCAAGAUAAAACCCGUCGAAAGAGGAUAAUGGCAAUUACAACCCCUUCAUCAAAUGUGAC